GAUGAACGCUAGCGAUAGGCUUAACACAUGCAAGUCGAGGGGCAGCACAAGGUAGCUUGCUAUCUGGGUGGCGACCGGCGCACGGGUGCGUAACGCGUAUGCAACUUGCCCUAUACAGGAGGAUAACCCGUCGAAAGACGGACUAAUACUGCGUAUGCUCACAACUUGGCAUCAAGUGGUGAGGAAAGAAAUUCGGUAUAGGAUAGGCAUGCGUCCCAUUAGCUUGUUGGUGAGGUAACGGCUCACCAAGGCAACGAUGGGUAGGGGAACUGAGAGGUUUACCCCCCACACUGGUACUGGGACACGGACCAGACUCCUACGGGAGGAAGCGGUGGGGAAUAGUGGUCAAGGGGCGCGAGCCUGAACCAGCAAAGUCGGGGGAAGGAUGACUGUUUUGUGGAUUGUAAACUUUUUUUAUACGGGAAUAACAAGGGUCACGUGGGACUCCCUGCAUGUACCGUAUGAAUAAGCAGCGGCAAACUCCGU
Molecule: ribosomal RNA, 486 nt
Filed under: uncultured bacterium
Lineage: Bacteria
Description: partial 16S ribosomal RNA
Rfam family: Bacterial small subunit ribosomal RNA
Source: RNAcentral